This 68-nucleotide transfer RNA is filed under the name Draco maculatus. Its description in RNAcentral is "tRNA-Arg". The record is from RNAcentral. Lineage: Eukaryota; Metazoa; Chordata; Lepidosauria; Squamata; Agamidae.
CAGAGACUAGUUUAAUAAAAACACCUACCUUCGAACUAGGAACUUCAGGCCUCACCCUGAGUCUCUAA